UACGGGGGGAGCAAGCGUUGUUCGGAUUUACUGGGCGUAAAGGGCGCGUAGGCGGUCAGCACAAGUCAGUUGUGAAAUCUCCGGGCUUAACUCGGAAAGGUCAACUGAUACUGUGCGACUAGAGUGCGGAAGGGGCAACUGGAAUUCUCGGUGUAGCGGUGAAAUGCGUAGAUAUCAGGAGGAACACCGGUGGCGAAGGCGGGUCUCUGGGCCGAUACUGACGCUGAGGAGCGAAAGCGUGGGGAGCAAACAGG
Molecule: ribosomal RNA, 254 nt
Filed under: uncultured bacterium
Lineage: Bacteria
Description: partial 16S ribosomal RNA
Rfam family: Bacterial small subunit ribosomal RNA
Source: RNAcentral